AGAGCUGUGCCUGAACGCCCAAGGACCACUUUGAUAGAGUGAACUACGAGGGUUAAAACCCCUCCAGCUCUU
Molecule: transfer RNA, 72 nt
Filed under: Astyanax lacustris
Lineage: Eukaryota; Metazoa; Chordata; Actinopteri; Characiformes; Acestrorhamphidae
Description: tRNA-Ile
Rfam family: tRNA
About the family: Transfer RNA (tRNA) molecules are approximately 80 nucleotides in length.
Source: RNAcentral